GGCGAUAGUGGCAGACGGGUGAGUAACGCGUAGGAAUCUACCUCUUGGUGGGGAAUAGCCUUCCGAAAGGAGGGGUAAUACCGCAUAAGGUCUUCGGAUCAAAGACCAUAACUGGUCGCCGAGAGAGGAGCCUGCGUCCUAUCAGCUAGUUGGUGAGGUAAUAGCUCACCAAGGCUAUGACGGGUAGGGGGUGUGAGAGCAUGGCCCCCCACAAGGUCACUUAGACACGGGACCUACAUCUACGGAUGGCAGCAACCGGGAAUAUUGCGCAAUGGACGAAAGUCUGACGCAGCGACGCCGCGUGUGGGAAGAAGGCCUUCGGGUCGUAAACCACUGUGGUAGGGGAAUAAACAAAUGAAGGUACCCUACUAGAAAGCACCUGCUAACCACGUGCCAGAAGCCUCGGUAAUACGUGGGGUGCGAGCGUUAUCCGGAUUUACUGGGCGUAAAGAGUAUCGUAGGCGGCUUGGUAAGUACAUGGUUAAAGGCUCCGGCUCAACCGGAGAGAUGCUGUGUAUACUGCCAGACUAGAGGGUUGUCGGGAGUGCCGGAAUUCUCGGUGGAGGGGUGAAAUCCGUUGAUAUCGAGAGGAACACCAAAGGCGAAGGCAGGCACUUAGGCAACAUCUGACGCUGAUGAACGAAAGCUAGGGUAGCAAAUGGGAUUAGAGACCCCAGUAGUCCUAGCCGUAAACGGUGGAUACUAGCUGAUGGGAUUUAUCUCGUCGGCGUAAGCUAACGCGUUAAGUAUCCCGCCUGGGAAGUACGGCCGCAAGGCUAAAACUCAAAGGAAUUGACGGGGGAGCGCACAACCGGUGGAGCAUGUGGUUUAAUUCGAUACAAAGCGAAGGACCUCACCCAGACUUGACAUGUAGCUGCAAGCUUUAGGAAACUAGAGCCUUCUUCGAGAGUGCUACACAGCUGUUGCAUGGCUGUCGUCAGUUCGUGUCGUGAGGCGUCCUCUUAAGUGAGGUAACGAACGCAACCCCUAUCGUGUGUUGAAUGUUCACGCGAGACUGCUCUUGAUAGUAUCAAGGGAGGAAGGAAGGGAUGACGUCAAGUCAGCAUGACGCUUACGUCUGGGGCCACACACAUCCUACAAUGGGAAGGACAACGGGUCGCCAACCAGUAAUGGGGAGCUAAUCCUACAAACCUUCCCUCAGUUCAGAUUGAGGGCUGCAACUCGCCCUCAUGAAGUCGGAAUCGGUAGUAAUCGCAGGUCAGCAGACUGCGGUGAAUACGUUCUCGCUCCUUGUACACACCGCCCGUCAAGUGAGCAAAGUUGGCAGUACCUGAAGUCGGUCUCCCAAACCCGCAAGGGAUGGGCCCGCCUAAGGUAAGGUCAGCUAUGAGCGCUAAGUCGUAACAAGGUA
This 1372-nucleotide ribosomal RNA is filed under the name metagenome. RNAcentral describes it as "bacterial SSU rRNA". It matches the Rfam family "Bacterial small subunit ribosomal RNA". The record is from RNAcentral.